UUUACUAUAAUUAAUAUGAAUCAAAUCUUAAUUCUCAUAUCAAUUCAAUUCGAUAAUUUUCAAACCAAAAAUCCUUAUAAGUCAAAUCAUAAAAAAAAAUCCUUCGAUGCUCCACCAAAUUUGGACAUAAUCAGAAUAUAUAAGAAUUUCAAAUCAUUAUUUUUUUUUCUAAAAAUUUCUAUCAUCAGGAUCUUCAAUAUCUAUCAAAUAUCCUUUCAUAACAAUCAUACAAGCUUCAAAAAUUAAAUCUCCAUUUAAUAGUAGAUUCAAUUAGGGAC
Molecule: long non-coding RNA, 278 nt
Filed under: Elaeis guineensis (African oil palm)
Lineage: Eukaryota; Viridiplantae; Streptophyta; Magnoliopsida; Arecales; Arecaceae
Description: long non-coding RNA (EGUI_LNC082755)
Source: RNAcentral